GAUGUCUAUUUGAGUCUCAUUAGGAUAAAGCCUUUUGGGUGCUGCUUUUCUCAAGAUACAUCCUGGGGCCUUGCUGGUUGCAUUUUUGCCAGUCUUUGAACUGUUGUUUGUUGAACACAUCAGAUCGGACCUGAGAAAGGCAGACUACCACAUGUAGCACCUCAUUUGGAUGUGUCUGGAGUCUUGGAAGCUUGACUACCCUACACUCUCCUGCAAAUGGACCUUGAGAGCUUGUUUGAAGGCUCCAGCAGGGAAGCUCAGCUAUUCGUAUACCCUUGACCAAAGAACGGUCCUCCUCUAUUGGGAAGGUUGUCCUCUUUGAGCGUGAAGCCUUGGGAGGGACACACAUGGAGUGGUGAGGGAGGAAGGGGACACCCGCCUAGCAGCCAGAUCAGCUGAAUCAAUCCUGGCGAUCAAUGGAGUGACAGAUGUUUCAGCCACAUGGCCCUCACAUCUUCAUUGUGGUUUUGAUUUGCAUUUCCCUGCUGAUGAGUGAUGUUGAGCAUCUUUUCAUGUGUCUGUGCCCAUCUGUAUACAUUCUUUGGAGAAAGUAUUCAGACAAGAAUAAAAGUUAUGCCACCAAUGUUUACUGUAUGGUCAGUCAUCAAGAAACCCAGGAAGUGACAUGCCAUCCGAGCGCCAUGACAGAUGUAGUCCUCACCCAUUGGUUCAUCACUGGAACUCUUAAGGCAAACGCUGAGUGGGGUAACAGCAAGAGUAACUUCUUCUUGACUUGAUGUAAAAAGAACAACUGCCUCAGCAAGCACUCUACAAAAAGUAAUGAAAAGUACUAUGUUACUUGAAAAACAAGAAGAAAGAAUCUUAUUAAAUGGGACUCAAAUCUUUAAUCUGGAAAUAAACAGUGGCCACGUUGUAAAGACAAUCAGAUAAUCCACAGAGAGGCCUGUGUGGUGAGGAACUGAGGCCUACCAGCAACCAGACUGGUGAGCUUGGAAGUUGAUCAUCUGAGGGCUCCCCACAGCCAUGUCUGUGAGUUUGGGAGUGAGCCCCCCCCCAAGUCCAGCCUUCAGAUGAGACCACAGCCCUGGCUGACAGCUUGACUCCAAUUUCAUGAGACACCUUGAGCUGGAUGCACCCAGUUAAGCCACACUUAUAACUAUGAAGUAAUCAAUAUCUGGUUUCUUAAAGCUCUGAGUUUGGGGGAAAUUUGUUCCACAGAAAUAGGCAACUAAUACACUUUUUUUUUUAUGGCAAAAAGCUGGAAACAACCUACUUUUUCACUAAUAGGACAAUGGGUAACUAAAUUAUGGUUCAGUCAUACAGUAAAAAAUUAUGUAAUCAUUAAAAACAAUAAGAUUGAUUUAAGUGAACUGACACAGAAACUUAAUAAAUCAAGUUGCCAAAUAAUAACAGUAGGACA
This is a long non-coding RNA of Mirounga angustirostris (Northern elephant seal), 1381 nucleotides long. RefSeq lists it as uncharacterized. The transcript is spliced from 4 exons. The record is from RefSeq and is a predicted model, not a curated record. Lineage: Eukaryota; Metazoa; Chordata; Mammalia; Carnivora; Phocidae.